AUCCACUAUGAAGUGGAAGCUCUCCCUCUCUACUGCUAGGAUCAGGGAGGAAUACCUGGGAUGAAGCCUCAUGGUAUACCUCUUUGCUUUCUUCUGAUCUGUAUCAUAAGCCUGACCCGUAUACUGCAACAACUCCAAGAACUUAUCAGUGUACUCAUCGACACUCAUAUCCUCAGACUGCCUCAGCUGCUCAAACUCUAUCAUCUU
Molecule: long non-coding RNA, 207 nt
Filed under: Manihot esculenta (cassava)
Lineage: Eukaryota; Viridiplantae; Streptophyta; Magnoliopsida; Malpighiales; Euphorbiaceae
Description: long non-coding RNA (MESC_LNC010253)
Source: RNAcentral